This 74-nucleotide transfer RNA is filed under the name Microbacterium phage Big4. RNAcentral describes it as "tRNA-Ala". It matches the Rfam family "tRNA". From Rfam's summary of the family: Transfer RNA (tRNA) molecules are approximately 80 nucleotides in length. Their secondary structure includes four short double-helical elements and three loops (D, anti-codon, and T loops). Lineage: Duplodnaviria; Heunggongvirae; Uroviricota; Caudoviricetes. The record is from RNAcentral.
GGGGCCUUAGCUCAACUGGUAGAGCGCUUGUAUGGCAUACAAGAGGUAACGGGUUCGACUCCCGUAGGUUCCAC